This 140-nucleotide unclassified non-coding RNA is filed under the name uncultured Cercospora. Its description in RNAcentral is "sequence contains ITS1". The record is from RNAcentral. Lineage: Eukaryota; Fungi; Ascomycota; Dothideomycetes; Mycosphaerellales; Mycosphaerellaceae.
CUGAGUGAGGGCUCACGCCCGACCUCCAACCCUUUGUGAACGCAUCUCGUUGCUUCGGGGGCGACCCUGCCCUUCGGUCGGGCGCCCCCGGAGGUCAUCAAACACUGCAUCUCUGCGUCGGAGUCAAAGUUAAUUAAACA